Molecule: long non-coding RNA, 1365 nt
Organism: Rosa chinensis
Lineage: Eukaryota; Viridiplantae; Streptophyta; Magnoliopsida; Rosales; Rosaceae
Exons: 7
Source: RefSeq, a predicted model, not a curated record
GAGGCUUUGGUUAUGCUAUUUUGCUUUCUUUUGUUUGUGGCUGCACAACUUAAAUCUGACCUAUUACAAUUUUUCUGUUUGUUAUUCUGCAGAUAUUGGGAACAGUGAGCUGUCAAAAUUUUCAAGUAUUUCAGAUUUAGGAGAAACAAAGAAAAUGGUGGGACAGUGUGAUUACAAUCAGAAUUCUGCUUCAGCAACAACUCAUAAGUCAAGAAGAUCGAAAAGAUGGCGAACAGUGUGUCAACAACAAACGGCUGAAGCUUCGCAUAGUUUCUGUGGAAAUGACGAACAAAAUUCUGCUGUAAUUGCGAACAAGGAUCUGUUAGUUGGUACAGCAUCGCAUAUUGAUAAUUCAAUUAUGGGAGAUAUGCCAUCCAAUACUGUAUCAAGAAGAACCAAGAGAAUGUUGAGACAAUGUGAUCGCGCUGAAAAUUAUGCUUCAACCAAUGUGUUCCUUACUAGCGAUGAAUCUCACCGAGUCACAUCACGGAACUCAAAGAGGUGGAAAGCUGGUAUUAUACCAUAUAUGAAGCGUCAGUUCACUGUUACACUGUUCACAAGAGGGGGUAGAAAAGUUGCUUCUGUCCUUACUGUUCGAGUGUGAUAUCGAGAUGGUGGAAAAGUCGUUUUCACCGCUGGUCUUCUUGCAUGAUCUGGAUAGAGGAAAAGCUUGGUAUUACAGAAUCGUCAGAUUUGCAAGUCGGCGACACCAAAAAAAGAAAAGCUUGGUAAGGUAUUUAUAGACGGGAAAUGAAGGAAGUGAAGAAGAACAGAGACGGGGGAGAUCGUGGUGAUCGUAAAGUGGUCAGAAGGUUUUCUUGAUUCUAUGCGAAAGGGUGUAUGCGUGAUUUGGGUGCCACUGUUCUUCUGCGUAUUGUUGACAAUCUGUUUAACAUUGUAUUCUUCUCUAGUUAUGGCACUUGAUAUGCGGUCCAGAAGAGCAAAGAGAUUAUUAGAAGAGCAUGAUGGUGAGAAUUGUGAUGGUGUAGAAGAAGUGCAAGCAAUGGACAAUUGUCAGACUUUGUCCGCCGAUAGCUGAAACUGGAAAUAUUGGUUUUGCUAUGCAAGCAAUGCAUCAGAGUAAAUCAAUGAAAUUAAGAAAUGUGGCUCAGUCUCUGGUGGCAGAGAAGAAUUAUACUUCUGAACAUUUGAGGAAACGAUUUUGAAGUACUCAGCGAAAUGGUGCUCUGAUGCUCACUGAAAAUUCAGCAAAUAAUACCAAAUUCGGAUGUUGAUAAUACAAGUUAAGAGACAAGUUCUACAAGCAAUUUCAUUUUUUUAGAUUUUAGACUAUGUACAUAAGCUUUGUUAAUUCAUUUUGGCAUUAAUAUCACCUCAGAUUUUCUACAUCAAUUUUAGUAGGAA